Molecule: ribosomal RNA, 528 nt
Filed under: uncultured Vibrionaceae bacterium
Lineage: Bacteria; Pseudomonadati; Pseudomonadota; Gammaproteobacteria; Vibrionales; Vibrionaceae
Description: bacterial SSU rRNA
Rfam family: Bacterial small subunit ribosomal RNA
Source: RNAcentral
CGCCUGGGGAGUACGGUCGCAAGAUUAAAACUCAAAUGAAUUGACGGGGGCCCGCACAAGCGGUGGAGCAUGUGGUUUAAUUCGAUGCAACGCGAAGAACCUUACCUACUCUUGACAUCCAGAGAACCUCUUAGAGAUAAAAGGGUGCCUUCGGGAACUCUGAGACAGGUGCUGCAUGGCUGUCGUCAGCUCGUGUUGUGAAGUGUUGGGUUAAGUCCCGCAACGAGCGCAACCCUUAUCCUUGUUUGCCAGCACUUCGGGUGGGAACUCCAGGGAGACUGCCGGUGAUAAACCGGAGGAAGGUGGGGACGACGUCAAGUCAUCAUGGCCCUUACGAGUAGGGCUACACACGUGCUACAAUGGCAUAUACAGAGGGCUGCCAACUCGCGAGAGUGAGCGAAUCCCAUAAAGUAUGUCGUAGUCCGGAUUGGAGUCUGCAACUCGACUCCAUGAAGUCGGAAUCGCUAGUAAUCGUGGAUCAGAAUGCCACGGUGAAUACGUUCCCGGGCCUUGAACACACCGCCCGUC